CUCGACUCGAUUAAGCAAUCACUUGCAACCUUGUAUUCAUCACCAACUUUUCAACACACAGAAAUGGAAGGAAUUUGGGAAAAGGUUUUGCAUAUCAACUAUCAAGUGACAGAUAUGGAAUCUCCUAACGAAGAAGGAUAGUAUUUGAUGUAAUGAAACCUGAAAGACUUUCGAGCAACAAUGCUUACCAAAGCAUAUUUAGGAUCAAAACACUUGGUUCACACACGAUUCUCAUCUCAUUUAGGUACACAUAGGACAAGUCUGAACAUAACGGCAGGUUAGUCAAAGUUCCAAAACAGUCUGCAACUAUCACCAAAGUGCAACUUAUAGAAUUCAAGACUUUUGAGAUCAGAUAAACAAAGUGCAACAUACAACUAGCAUAUCUGAUAAGUUUUGAAAAUGACUGCAAGUUAGGUGAGUCACAAGUA
RNAcentral lists this long non-coding RNA (428 nucleotides) under Linum usitatissimum (flax). RNAcentral's name for it is "long non-coding RNA (LUSI_LNC001635)". Lineage: Eukaryota; Viridiplantae; Streptophyta; Magnoliopsida; Malpighiales; Linaceae. The record is from RNAcentral.